ACUCAAAUGAAUAGACGGGGACCCGCACAAGCGGUGGAACAUGUGGUUUAAUUCGAGGCAACGCGAAGAACCUUACCAGGCCUUGACAUGCCCUCUAUGGGGCCCAGAGAUGGGCUCCUUCACUUCGGGUGGGAGGUGCACAGGUGCUGCAUGGCUGUCGUCAGCUCGUGUCGUGAGAUGUUGGGUUAAGUCCCGCAACGAGCGCAACCCUCAUCCUCUGUUGCCAACAGGUAAAGCUGGGAACUCUGAGGAAACUGCCGGUGAUAAGCCGGAGGAAGGUGGGGAUGACGUCAAGUCCUCAUGGCCCUUACGGCCUGGGCUACACACGUGUUACAAUGGUAGUGACAAUGCGCUGCGAACCCGCGAGGGUGAGCGAAUCGCAAAAAGCUGCCUCAGUUCGGAUUGUACUCUGCAACUCGAGUACAUGAAGUCGGAAUCGCUAGUAAUCGCAGAUCAGCACGCUGCGGUGAAUACGUUCCCGGGUCUUGUACACACCGCCCGU
RNAcentral lists this ribosomal RNA (502 nucleotides) under uncultured bacterium. RNAcentral's name for it is "partial 16S ribosomal RNA". It matches the Rfam family "Bacterial small subunit ribosomal RNA", at positions 899 to 1397 of the family's 1533-position model. The record is from RNAcentral.